This is a non-coding RNA of Cinara cedri, 317 nucleotides long. NCBI's taxonomy places the organism in Eukaryota, Metazoa, Arthropoda, Insecta, Hemiptera, Aphididae. The record is from the annotation of a GenBank genome assembly.
CUCAUAAUAACAAUAUUAUUCAUCCUGGCUCACCACUAAAUCCUUUUUGGUUUUAAUGGUUCAACCUACCCCCUAUACUUUUGAACUAAAUGUUAUACACUGUGAAAUAAUAUUAUAGGUACUUAUCGACAGACGAAGUUCUUAAUGAGUUUUCUAAAGACAUUAUAUUUGUUUAAACCACUCUCAUCCAAUGACUAAUUCCUGGCUAUGCCACUCAAUGAUACCGGAAUCGGUGUACAGGGCGGGCAAUCGCCUGGUCAAAUUUUUUUGGUGGUGGAUGGAUGGAUGGUUCCAGUGGUGAGAAAUAUACAUAGUGU